AUCCUCCUCGGGGGGCAGCAGUAGGGAAUCUUCCACAAUGGACGAAAGUCUGAUGGAGCAACGCCGCGUGAGUGAAGAAGGGUUUCGGCUCGUAAAGCUCUGUUGGUAGUGAAGAAAGAUAGAGGGAGUAACUGGCCUUUAUUUGACGGUAAUUACUUAGAAAGUCACGGCUAACUACGUGUCAGCAGCCGCGGUAAUACGUAGGGGGCAAGCGGUGUCCGGAUUUAUUGGGCGUUAAGCGAGUGCAGGCGGGUUAAUAAGUAUUAUGUGAAAAGCUUUUGGUCCAACGGGGGAUUGAGUCAGAA
RNAcentral lists this ribosomal RNA (305 nucleotides) under uncultured bacterium. RNAcentral describes it as "bacterial SSU rRNA". It matches the Rfam family "Bacterial small subunit ribosomal RNA", at positions 334 to 631 of the family's 1533-position model. The record is from RNAcentral.